GAACGCUGGCGGCGUGCCUAAUACAUGCAAGUCGAACGGUCUUUCUAUGGAAGCUUGCUUCCGACUGAGAAGAUAGUGGCGAACGGGUGAGUAACACGUGGGUAACCUGCCCGAUAAGAGGGGGAUAACAUCCGGAAACCGGGUGCUAAUACCGCAUAGUUUUCUUGAUCGCAUGAUUGAGAAAGGAAAGACGGCCUUUGUGCUGUCGCUUAUGGAUGGACCCGCGGCGUAUUAGUUAGUUGGUGAGGUAACGGCUCGACCAAGACGAUGAUACGUAGCCGACCUGGAGAGGGUGAUCGGCCACAUUGGGACUGAGACACGGCCCAAACUCCUACGGGAGGCAGCAGUAGGGAAUCUUCCGCAAUGGACGAAAGUCUGACGGAGCAACGCCGCGUGAGUGAAGAAAGGUUUUCGGAUCGUAAAACUCUGUUGUCAGAGAAGAACAAGUUGGAGAGUAACUGCUCCAGCCUUGACGGUAUCUGACCAGAAAGCCACGGCUAACUACGUGCCAGCCGCUGC
Molecule: ribosomal RNA, 519 nt
Filed under: uncultured bacterium
Lineage: Bacteria
Description: bacterial SSU rRNA
Rfam family: Bacterial small subunit ribosomal RNA
Source: RNAcentral